GGAACGAACGCUGGCGGCAUGCCUAACACAUGCAAGUCGAACGCUCUUGGGAUUUCGGUCUCAAGGGAGUGGCGCACGGGUGAGUAGCGCGUGGGAACCUGCCCUGUUGUGGGGGAUAACCGAGGGAAACUUCGGCUAAUACCGCAUAAGCCGGCUGUCUUGCGAAAGAUGGCCGGGAAAGAUUUAUCGCGACAGGAGGGGCCCGCGUCGGAUUAGCUAGUUGGUGGGGUAACGGCCCACCAAGGCGGUGAUCCGUAGCUGGUCUGAGAGGAUAAUCAGCCACACUGGGACUGAGACACGGCCCAGACUCCUACGGGAGGCAGCAGUGGGGAAUAUUGGACAAUGGGCGCAAGCCUGAUCCAGCAAUGCCGCGUGAGUGAUGAAGGCCUUAGGGUUGUAAAGCUCUUUCGCCCGCGACGAUGAUGACGGUAGCGGGAGAAGAAGCCCGGCUAACUUCGUGCCAGCAGCCGC
Molecule: ribosomal RNA, 471 nt
Filed under: uncultured bacterium
Lineage: Bacteria
Description: SSU rRNA
Rfam family: Bacterial small subunit ribosomal RNA
Source: RNAcentral